RNAcentral lists this ribosomal RNA (253 nucleotides) under uncultured bacterium. RNAcentral's name for it is "partial 16S ribosomal RNA". It matches the Rfam family "Bacterial small subunit ribosomal RNA", at positions 524 to 776 of the family's 1533-position model. The record is from RNAcentral.
UACGGGGGGGGUAAGCGUUGUUCGGAAUUACUGGGCGUAAAGGGCUCGUAGGCGGCCAACUAAGUCAGACGUGAAAUCCCUCAGCUUAACUGGGGAACUGCGUCUGAUACUGGAUGGCUUGGAUUCGGGAGAGGAAUGCGGAAUUCCAGGUGUAGCGGUGAAAUGCGUAGAUAUCUGGAGGAACACCGGUGGCGAAGGCGGCAUUCUGGACCGACAUUGACGCUGAGGAGCGAAAGCCGGGGGAGCAAACGGG